GGCUUAUUAUGUGUCCAGGAAGAUCCAGCUGAGAGGCCAUCAUUGGCAACAAUAGUUCUCAUGCUCAAUAGUUACUCUGUCACACUUCCGUCGCCUCAACAGCCUGCAUUUUUCAUAGGCAGUCGAACUGAGAGGAGCUUGCCCACAAAAGAAUUUGAGUUCUCUGAUAAAUCUACAAGCAAGUCGAUGCCAUGGUCUGUUGAUGAAGCAUCAAUUACUGAAGUAUACCCCCGUUAACUUGUAAAAAUUGUUGACGAUGCUUCUUCUUUAUGUUAGUAUAUGUUCUCCCCAAGGGGAGUGCUGGUACAUUACGAGGGAGAAUGACAUGGUUUAUGACAAGCAAUAAUGAUAAAGAGGAGGCGCCCUUCAAAUUGAAUGGCGCCGCGUUACAUUUUCCAAAGUUUUUAUUUGUUGAAGUAUAUGAUUAUUGUAUGGAUGAGUAACGAUGCAACGUUGGGAAAUCAAAUAUUCCAUUACGGUGUCGUUUGCGUUUAGUGUCGUCCGGUUAGUGUUUGCUGGGUCCGGACUCCGGAGCCCAAUUUUCCAUUACGAUGUAGUUUGUGUUCUAUGCCGUAAGCAUCCAGUUCUGUCUGAGUCUUCAAUUUUUUCUUUUUCCCCUGAAAAUUGUCUCAAUCUAUUUAAUUUAGUGAAAAUUUCAACAAAAUUUGACUGAGAUUUUCCGUCUUUCGUGCUUGACUUCCCUUUUAUUGACUUUGCGUGGACAGGUCUCCUCUGCAAUAAUCAACUUCCGCAUCUUCACCACGCGUUUCAACUUUCAAACAAAGUUGUUUGAUCAAUCUCAUCGCCAUUCACCAACAAUAAUACUUAAUAAAUGAACAGAGAAAUUAAAAGCAAUAAAAAAUAAAAAAAGAGGAAGAUAGACGAUCAUCACAUAUGUAUAUCCGUAGUACUAAGAACUAUUUAUUGUAUUCAUUCCCGGGUGAGGUCAGCCUGAGGCUGAAAGCGAGAAUCCAAAUGCGUUCCUUCAAAUUAUUCAUUUUCUUUCCGUUUCUGUCUUUUGUAAGCAUUUUUCUCAGAUUCACAACUGCAGCUGACCCAGAAUACCUCGCUCAUAAUUGCCCAAAUACAACAACUUUCAGCAGGAACAGGACUUCUCAAUCCAACCUCCACCUUUUCUUCUCUUCUCUGCCCACUAACGCCAGCCGCAGCAACGGAUUCUUCAGCCGUUUCUACAACGCCACAGCAGGCCAAGACUCUGACAGAGUCUACGGCCUCUUCCUCGGCCGUGGCGAUCUUGGCAGCAGCGCCUGCCAAGGCUGUCUCGCUUUUGCUGCCAGAAAUGUUAAUAUCAAAAUUUCCUUCUUCCUUAUGUUGCAAAGUCCCUAAAUAUCAACUCUUCUAACAUAUAACCCCUUUUUGUUUUGUUUUGUCCAAUUUCAUUCAUUUACUAUGGCAAAUCGAUAAAUUUGCCACCUAAUUUAUAUCGAAAGUUCAAUUUGAUACCAAAGAAUUUUGAUAAUAGCUCUCUGUACCACCGAACCUUUUUUUUAUGUUAACAUCGUUAGGCAAAGGUUGAUGUCGCAGGGGCAAUUUCGGUAUUUCAAAAUUUGGUUUCAUCUGGUAAAAAGGGACGCCUCUUUAUAAAUCAAAACGGUCAAUGAUGGUGAGUCAAAAAAAGAAAAAAGGGCCAAUGAUGGUUUGAUAUAAAAUGAAAAAGUUGAGUGCUACAGAGAAAUUGAUAAUUUCCUAAUCAGAAAAUACAUAUGUAAUUACUAUUAUUAAAUUUAACAUUGUAGUUGAUAUGUAUUUUGAGAAACAAACUUCAUUCUAAUUGUUCUUUUAACAUUCAUAUUCAUAUCGAUAAAGAAAAAACUAUAUCUAUAUCAAUUUUAAUAAAUGUUAAAAGAACAAUUAAGAUGGAAUUAGUUUCUUAAAAUAAUUAUUUUUUUGAAAUUUAAUUGUAAUUGAUAUGUAUUUAUUAAAAUUGGUAUAAAUAUAAUUGUUAAAAGAACAAUUAAGAUGAUUUUUUUUUUAAAUAAAAAUUUUCAGAAUUUUUAAAAUUAAUAAUAUUAAAAUUUAGCAGCGGAUCAAUGGGUGACACAUGUCUGCCCCUAUUGAAUGUUAAAUUAACUUUAAUAAAUAUAUAUUCAUAUUUAAAGACUUUAACUAAUAACAUAAAUAAAAUUAUAUGAAAACUUAAUCGUAUAAUUUCAUAUUGGGCGUAGUAGGGGCAAUUUCAUAUAUAACUAUUUUUGUUACUUUUUUUCCAUGUAAGUGGAUAAAUUGUCCUUAUAUAUAUUUAAAUAAUUCCUAUAAUAAAAUUGUCCUAUGUAAAGUAUAUGUAAACUAUUUUAUCACUUUUUAAGUGGUAAUUUGAUAUAACAAUUUGGGUGUUGGAGUACGUUUUUGUAGGUACCCCGCAUCAUUAAAGCUUAUCCAAUGAGGAAAGAAGAUAAUUUUUGUUGUGAAGGAAAAAGUCCACUUUCACAAAUGCAUUUUCAAAUUUAUCAAAAGCUAAUCAUUCAUAUAUAUUCUAAAGCAAAUAACACAAAUCAUUUGAAAAUAUCAAAGACAUGCUUAAUAUUUUGGAGCAACUUAAUUAUUGAAAUUGGAAGAGAGAGUGAUUCUGGGGUUUUCACUUUUCAUCCACCUCUCUAUAGGUGAAAAUCGCGCAACUCAAAUGUUUAUUUGUCCUUCAAACUAAUUUCACAGUGGCUCUUGUGAGUUGUGAUAGGAUAAGUGGCGUUCAAAUAGCUGUACUCUUUCAGUUUGCAAGUGUACCCAUCAUUUAAGCCCAGCCCGGCCCAUUUAUACCCAACAUAAUGGGCUGCUUAUGAAAUACUCUCCUAUAAUUCUGUUGAAGUAAGAACCCCAUCAUUGUUUUCUGAACCUCGUUUCCUGCAAAAAUCAAUUACGCAAACAAUGCCAUUAAAAUAGUAGCAAUAAACUUUUCAAAGAAUGUACACGGGAAUCGGACUAGAUCAUGACAUUGUAGUGAAACAUGCGAUUUGGCUAAUUGGCUUCAAGAAGAUACGAAACGAUGACUUUUAAACUCUUCAAUUUGAAGAAUUUUCAAAUAAUAUUUGAAAGGUAUAAUAUUUAAUUAAUACAUAUAUAACAUGUAUAAUUUACUUAAAUAUAAUUUUCAAUUAUAUAAUAAUAUCCGUUCAUCAUUGUCUCCUUUUAUAUGUAGUACCGAACAAGUUAAGGAAGUCAUGUUCAUGCCCAACCUAGUUUUGAUCCAUCAGCAUUUUACGCAUAAUUAAAGGACAAAAUACUCCCUGGAAAAUAUAUUCAUAAUAGACAGCUAACAUGAGACUUGGCUAUGUUGCAAUUGUAGUAUCAUACUAUAGUUGCAAUCAGUCAUUGGAUCCACUUAAAUCUACUAUUGUACCAUUCAUCUAAGUGAAUUUAAUAGAUGGUUGUAACUGUGGCACGGUACCACAAUUACAAUAUAAUCAAACCCGCUAACAUGUAUCUCUGACGUCACGAAUUGACUUCUGUCUUGAUCAAUUUAAUGUUUUUUUUUUUCCUUCAACUAACUUUCCACAAAUUCUUCAAUCACAAAAAAAUAAAAAUAAAAUAAGAGUUCCAGAAUUUCAUUUGAUUGAGGCUUUGCGACUUUUUUUCUCCGGGUGAUUGGAAGCAAAACAAGUAAUUAAUUGGAACGGGACGAGCUUGACUUCACUUAGUUGACUUUGUGCAGACGAGUCCCGUUUCCGACGCAACUUUUGCAGCUUCCACUACUCGUUUCUUCAUUAUAUUUGAUAAAAUCUCGUCUCCAUAAUUAAUAAAAUAAAAGGUAGAAUAAAAAGCAAUAAAGAGGAAGAAGAGAUAGAGGAUUGUAUUUGUAAUCCACAGUACGCAACAAAAACCUGAGAUUCCAAAUGCCGCCCUUGAAAUUCUUCAUGGUCUUUUCGUUUCUCAUAUAUCUUUUAAGCUUCCAGUUCAGUUUUACAGCUGCAGUUGUCCCAAUAUACGCUACUCAUGUUUGCUCAACAACAGCAAAUUUCACCAGAAACAGCACCUAUGAAAAAAGCCUCAAUCUUUUCCUCUCUUCUAUUCCGACUAACGCCAGCCGCGGAAAUGGAUUCUCCAGCGGAUUCUUCAACGCUACAGCCGGUCAAGACCCAAACAGGGUCUAUGGCCUCUUUCUCUGCCGCGGGGAUCAAACUACCAGCGGUUGUCAAGACUGUGUCACCUACGCUACAAGAAAUGUACUUCAGCUUUGCCCAGUCAGCAAACAAACAACACUAUGGUACGCUGAGUGCCUUUUACGUUACUCAGAUCAGUCUUUCUUUUCUACCAUGGCCGCAGCUCCCACUGUCUCUUUGUUGAAUACAGAAAAUGUUACGGACCAAGGCAGGUUUAACGAGCUAGUGGGGACUCAGAUGAGCCAAGCUGUAACUCAGGCUGUGAAUAAUACCAAAAGGUUUGCAACGAGAAAAGCAAAUUUCACAGCCUCUCAAACACUCUACAGUCUUGCACAAUGUACACCGGACCUGUCAAGUUCGGCUUGUAACAGAUGUCUUCGAGAAGCCAUCGCACGGUUGCCAAUUUGUUGCAGUGGAAAGCAAGGAGGAAGAGUGUUGACUCCGAGUUGUAAUGUAUGGUAUGAAUUGUACCCUUUUUACAAUGAAUCAGCCACAGCGCCGCCAGCACCUGCUCCGGUUCUUCUUUCUCCUCCACCUCCUGGUUCGGUAACGACGUCUCGAGGUAAAUGUGAACCCACUUUUUAUUGCCAUUUUCAUUAUUUUAAGUUUUAUAUGCUUUAUCGUUUUCUUUUGAGGGGUCUGUCAAUGAUACAUCUGGAAGUUAUGAUUUUAAGUGAAAGGCAACCAGAUUUUAGGCUCCUUUUGGUAUUAAGCUACAGUUAAAGUGUUUGAUGAAUACUUUAUGUGGUGAUUUUGAAUUCAAGUUAAUUUUAUUCUACACUUAUCUUAUUUAAAAUUUAUACAUAUUACUAUACUUUUAACUUUUAUUUUAUAAAAGCCACUAAACUUUAGUCUUCACAAUUGUGAGGUCAUGAGUUCGAAUCCCUACAACGCAUUGUGGGGGUUUAAUUUCUUUCCUCAAAUUUGAGUGAAGGUAGAGUGGAGUAGACGUCCCUCGAAUAUCAGAGAGGGUAAAAAUUUAGGCAUGCUUCAUAAGAAUCGAUGUAAACUAGUCCCAGUAAUAAUCUGAUUUGUAAAUACAAUCAGUUGUAAUAUCAUGUAAUAUGAGUUGUACGCCGGAUCAAUAGUUUCAUGUAAUAAAAAAAAAAUUAUUUUAUAAUUAUAAUUUUUUUCCACUGUAACUCACUACUAAAUAGGGAGGACCUUAAAAAGUUGGAUUGAUAUUGAUUCAUAAUAUACGUGAUUGAUGAUUUUAACCAUUUAAAACAAUGUUUGUUCUAGUUUGUUCUAGAUAUUUAACAUUCAAUAUGAUAUUUCACAUUGAUGAAUUUCUAGGAUGCCUAAUGAAACAUAUUGUUUUUCCCUGCAGGGAAAAGCGGAAUCUCAUCAUCAACAAUUAUUGCCAUUGUUGCUCCAAUUGUUGUCACUGCAGUGCUUUUCAUUGUGGGCUUCUGCUUCCUAAGAAGGAAAGCAAAAAAGAAGUAUAAUGCUGUACCGGAAGGUAAUGGUAAGCACAAGAGCUACUUUAUUACCAAAUCAAUAGUUGUAACUUUUAACAAGAGUAUGUACGCAUACAAUUGUUGUAACUUUUUUGUGAGACUGAUUUAAUUACUUUUUGUUUGUGCAGCUGAUAACGAUCUUACAACUCUAGAAUCCUUGCAAUUUGAUUUCGAGGCAAUUAAAGUUGCCACAAACAAAUUCUCAACUGACAACAAGUUGGGUGCAGGUGGAUUUGGUGAGGUUUAUAAGGUAUACCAUUCAUUAUCAUGACAUCUCUGAAAGUUUUUAGCAGUUGCAAGACACGUCACAAAUUUUCUAAUUGUUGAUUAAUGUAUCUUUGCAGGGUGUACUUCCUAGCGGGCGAGAAAUAGCUGUGAAAAGGCUAUCAAAAAGCUCUGGACAGGGUGCAGAAGAAUUUAAGAAUGAGGUCGUUGUGGUUGCCAAGCUUCAACACAGAAAUCUGGUUAGGCUACUGGGAUUUUGCUUGGAGGGUGUAGAAAAGCUACUCAUAUACGAAUUUGUGCCAAACAAAAGCCUUGACUAUUUUCUUUUUGGUUAGGAUCAUUUACAUAAAUUUCAAUGUCUUAAGAGAGUUUAAUAUUCAAGAUUUUUUAAUAGAUUAUUUGAGUUUUUAUCCAUCUUUUCAGGACGGACAGAAUUUCUAGAUUGCAUUUAAAUUCAAUUUCCAAAUUUCAAUUUGAAGUAUUGAUUUUGAUAUGUGCACAGACCCUGAAAAACAAGGACAAUUGGAUUGGUCAAGGCGCUACAAGAUAAUUGGACUGAUUGCUCGAGGAAUUCUUUAUCUUCACGAAGAUUCUCGACUCAGAAUUAUACAUCGUGACCUGAAAGUUAGCAAUAUACUCUUAGACGCAGAGAUGAAUCCAAAAAUUUCAGACUUUGGCAUGGCAAAGAUAUUUGGAGUUGAUCAAACUCAAGGAAAUACUAGCAGAAUAGCUGGGACAUAGUAAGUAUAGACAACCAUUCCCCUUUUUUACAUACUCUCCAUUUGAUUAGUUUACAAUUUAUGCAUUAUAUCCCCUAGGAGAACCAUUUAGUCUGGGUUAUAAAUAAAUUGUAUAGAGUUAUUUGAAUAAUUUCAAAAGAUUUGUUGUUGUCUUUAGACCGACUUAGUUGCUGGUUUACAGUGGUUACAUGGCCCCAGAAUAUGCUAUGCAUGGGCAAUUUUCUGUGAAAUCAGAUGUAUAUAGUUUUGGUGUCCUAGUUCUGGAGAUUAUAACCGGGAAGAAGAACAGCAGCUUUUAUCAAACAGAUGGUGCUAGACAUCUUUUGAGCUAUGUAAGCAUUUCCCUUUAUUAGUGCCUAUAUCAUCACUCACAAGUAAAAGCACCAAAAAAGAGGUAGAAGCUGCAACCUUUUUUAAUAUCCCUCAUAUACUGUUUGCAGGCUUGGAAACAAUGGAGGGAUGGAACUCCUUUGCAGUUGUUGGAUCCAAAUCUGACAGAUACUUACUCAAGAAAUGAAGUAAUUAGAUGCAUCCAUUUGGGCUUAUUAUGUGUCCAGGAAGAUCCAGCUGAAAGGCCAUCAAUGGCAACAAUAGUUCUCAUGCUCAAUAGUUACUCUGUCAUACUUCCAUCGCCUCAACAGCCUGCAUUUUUCAUAGGCAGUCGAACUGAGAGGAGCUUGCCCACAAAAGAAAUUGAGUUCUCUGAUAAAUCUACAAACAAGUCGAUGCCAUGGUCUGUUGAUGAAGCAUCAAUUACUGAAGUAUACCCCCGUUAACCCGUAAGAACUGUUAACAAUGCUUCUUCUUUGGAUUGUAUAUGGUCUACCCAUGGGCAGGGCUAGUACAGUGUGGGGGAGAAUAACAUGGCUUAUGACAAGCAAUAAUGA
Molecule: long non-coding RNA, 7427 nt
Filed under: Citrus maxima (pomelo)
Lineage: Eukaryota; Viridiplantae; Streptophyta; Magnoliopsida; Sapindales; Rutaceae
Description: long non-coding RNA (CMAX_LNC001071)
Source: RNAcentral